Non-coding RNA from Anas platyrhynchos (mallard), 2378 nucleotides. Lineage: Eukaryota; Metazoa; Chordata; Aves; Anseriformes; Anatidae. The record is from RefSeq and is a predicted model, not a curated record.
CAGAACAGGUGUUAUGUAAGGAGGAAGAAAAGCAGAAAAGGAGAACAUAAGUGAGAGGAAAAAAUUGGUGUGUAAAGGAAAGAAAGGAUGGUUUCCACAAAUUAACUACAAAUGGGAACUACACAGGACUGGGGACUUCUGCUUGCCACUUUAUGGCCCCAAAAGAUUGUUUCUUCCCCUUCUUCAAUGACCUAUAGGAUCUAGGGCAAAUUGCACACGUGGUCAGCCACACCGCCUUGCUGCCACCAUACUUUCACAGCCCCACCAGGCCUUGCUUCCCAGCCUCCGAGUCUGUGUCAAGGACCGAGGCCACCCAGGAUAUACUCCUGGCCUACAGCCAGCUCUGACGUCUGUGCUCAUGCACUAAAUGCAGAAAAGAAAGAGAAAAGAUAGAUGUGCUCCGAAAAGGAACGUUGAUCAGAUGUCUGUGCUGUGCUUGCUGCUGUCAGUCCAGGGGGACAAAAGUUCUUCUGCAAGGGAGGCAGUUUCUGUGAGUCCUUCCAUUCUUCUUUUCUUUUUUCUCCUCUUUCCUGCUUCAGCACCAAUAGCGCUAGGCUUAAUGCUGAGGAGUGCUGUCAUUUUAUGAUCCUAAUUACACAGCAGCAAACUGAAAUCCCCCUGGUCUACUUUGGACAACUUGGACAUGUUGUGUGGAUCAUGCAAGUGGGAUUUGGCAUGGAGCCAGGAAGAGGAGUAAAUUAACAUGGUCACUUAAGGUCAUGGUCAUAAAAAGUCAUGGCUCUUCUGCUGCAGAUUUUUCAAGGCUUUGGCUCUUUUGUACAGGUUUCAGUGGAGCAAGAAAUACAAUCUAUUUUUAGUGAGUUAGGCAGCAAGUGAUAUGUUGCAGUGGAAAGCUAUGGACAGUUUUCAGCUGAACUGAACAGUGGGGAACUUUGGGAUGGCUUCUCAGCCCUAGUUCUUUGCUCUGACAAGGCAGCUAGGGAAAUGAGAAGAAGGGGUCACUGACAUUUUAUUCGUAUUUAUCUCUGAAUAGGAAGGCACAGGCAUGGAUAUUGGCUUUCAACAAACUGCUCUUGCAAACAAAGUGCUCAUACUUGGGAGAGCACAUGAGAGAAGAGAGCUGAGGUUAGAUUUCCAAUUUCCUUGAAAAAGAAUAAUCUAAACCCUGUUACUGUGAGUUUUGUUUGUUUGUUUGUUUGUUUUUCACUUGUGUGGUAUGUAUAUUACUCUGUGAAAGGUAUGGUGGGACAAAUGGCAGAAGAGCCUUUGAAUAGCUAGAAAUCAGUCUUCUCUUGGAUCCCUUUUCAAAAUCUAUUAUUUUCUGUCUUCUUCUCUGCAUUAUUUGGACUUGUAUGCCGAAUGAAUGUUUUAACAAUCAAACACCUUCUGAGAAUCCUGGCCGUUGCAUAGUCCAGGCUGCUGCCCCUACAGCCAUAUGGUCCUCAUUAGGGGAUCCGUUAGGGCUGGCUGGGCUGCAGUUAGUGUCGGUAUCUUCUAGUUUAAUGAUGAUCAUACAUGGUGCAUAUAAAAUCACUACCCACCUGAGCCUUCACAUGAGAAUUUCCUCUUGGUACUCAGACGGGAAUGCAAGGAGGGUGUUUUAUGGUGUUCAUAAGUACACUGGCAUGGCUGGGACAGAGGAAGCAGAGACUGCAGCAGUUCAAAGCCACACCGGAAAGAGGCUGCAAGGAAUAGCCAUUGGGACCACAAAAUGCAGGUCACUGUGAAGCAGAGCUGUUUCAUGUAGGCAUGGACCAGAACCAAGCCACAGUUGAGGACAUCCCAGAAGUGUGAGAAAAGUUCAGCAUCAGAUCUGCCUUCCAUGGAAAGAUUUUGUACCUCAGUAAUGGGCUUUACCAAAACUUUGUAUUCAAACACCCAUUAGGACCUAAAAGCAUUUGGGUCUGGGUACAGCUAGACUAUAUUCUAGCUCCCUCCCAACCCACUCACCCUGUGCUCUUCCACUGUCUGCAAAGUGCCUCAAAACCCCACUGAUGAAAACUUACUUUUGCAAGCCUUCAUUUCCAGCUCCUUGCUUUAACACACCAGCCCAGACAUAAUCUUGACAUGUACUUAGGUGAAGUUAACUGAACAAUGCCACUUAAUAAAAGUCCCAUAAAGGUACAAUCUUGUGCUCAGAGGAGAUUUUAUUUAUGGAGACACAGAAAGUGGUGUCAGUGUGUGUAUAUACUCUGUAAAAAGUCCAUUAGCCAAGGUGUAAGUGAAAUGAAUCUGACCUCUGUAUCACUAACAUGCUGACUGCAAAGGUGCCACUUCAGAGCAUUACUGACCUCACCCCAAACCCUCAGUGAGAACUGAAAGCGAGAACAGGAUUAGAUGACGAUUAUUUUUUUUUUUAAGUGAAUCAAGCAGUGUUUUGUCUGUGGAGAAAAAGGAAAAAAAAUAGAAAAAAAAAA